RNAcentral lists this ribosomal RNA (467 nucleotides) under uncultured bacterium. RNAcentral's name for it is "bacterial SSU rRNA". It matches the Rfam family "Bacterial small subunit ribosomal RNA", at positions 328 to 793 of the family's 1533-position model. The record is from RNAcentral.
CGCUAUCACUCCUACGGGAGGCAGCAGUGGGAAUAUUGCACAUGGGGAAACCUGAUGCAGCCAUGCCGAGUGUGUGAAGAAGGCCUUCGGGUUGUAAAGCACUUUCAGUAGGGAGGAAGGUAGUGUAGUUAACACCUGCAUUAUUUGACGUUACCUACAGAAGAAGCACCGGCUAACUCCGUGCCAGCAGCCGCGGUAAUACGGAGGGUGCGAGCGUUAAUCGGAAUUACUGGGCGUAAAGCGCAUGCAGGCGGCCUGUUAAGUCAGAUGUGAAAGCCCGGGGCUUAACCUCGGAAUUGCAUUUGAAACUGGCAGGCUAGAGUCUUGUAGAGGGGGUAGAAUUUCAGGUGUAGCGGUGAAAUGCGUAGAGAUCUGAAGGAAUACCAGUGGCGAAGGCGGCCCCUGGACAAAGACUGACGCUCAGAUGCGAAAGCGUGGGGAGCAAACAGGAUUAGAUACCCUGGUAG